This is a long non-coding RNA of Pseudophryne corroboree (corroboree frog), 959 nucleotides long. RefSeq lists it as uncharacterized. The transcript is spliced from 4 exons. The record is from RefSeq and is a predicted model, not a curated record. NCBI's taxonomy places the organism in Eukaryota, Metazoa, Chordata, Amphibia, Anura, Myobatrachidae.
UACUUUUUUGGUUUGCUAACAAACCUGAAUAAGACCCUACACCCACUGCACUGCACUAGCCCAAACAUUGUAUCAGAUGUUAAUGGUAUUGGCAAUAUUUAGAAUCCUGUUUGUGUAUUAUAUCUCCCCUGCUUCUGUUUUAAACUCACAAUUCACUUAAGUAUUCAAGCUUCACUUUAGUAUGCAAACUUCUCUCAAUUAGCCUUGACUUUCAUUGGUUCCAGGAAAAUUGUUAACAGGAAUUAUGCAAAGACUGGAGAACGUAGAUUGGCACUUGAAUGGGGAGCAUCUGGAAUAGUAUCACUGUGAUACAGAUGAAAAUGCAGCUGAUAUGGUGCCUGGUGUGCUGUGUUUACCCAUUCUUCCAGUGAGGUGCCUGACCAAAGCCUCUACCAGAGCCCAACGCUAAAAAGUCAUCUUACACACAAUGUGCUACUGUAUGGCUGAAGUGGACAUACAUAUAUUUAAAGGAUGUGGACAAGGCCAUUUUGCUCGGAUUCCAUUUCAUCUUUUACUGACUUCGUUUGAUACUCACAAUCAAGCUGAGGGGAGUGUGGUUCAUGUCUAGGAGGUGUGUCCAAAAUUUGGAGUGUGGGGCCCGAACAUACUGUCGAUAAUCUUCGUGGCGGGGUAGCCUGCUGUGGUUGGCCCUGGACAUCAGACCUUGCUUUCUUUGCUGCCCCAUUUUUUUUGCCUGUUGUGUUACUGAAGUCCAACUUCUGCUGCUCCAGACUUCUUUUGAUGGACCUAGUAUUGAAAGUGAAAUGUUGUUAUGGCCAUUCCUUUACAAACAUACCCUAUACUACAAUGGACACUUUACCUGCUUCCGCCGCGUCAACAUCAUCAAAUGUAAUGGGAGUUACUGUCGGACAACCAGUACUGCUUUUUUCCAACACUGUAAAACCAAAAUAAGAAAUCAUGUAAUCAUGCUAUUGUGGAUACAUCCACCCAUUAUGCUU